This 474-nucleotide ribosomal RNA is filed under the name uncultured organism. RNAcentral describes it as "partial 16S ribosomal RNA". It matches the Rfam family "Bacterial small subunit ribosomal RNA", at positions 331 to 797 of the family's 1533-position model. The record is from RNAcentral.
GUACACUCCUGCGGGAGGCAGCAGUGGGGAAUUUUGGACAAUGGGCGAAAGCCUGAUCCAGCAAUGCCGCGUGAGUGAAGAAGGCCUUCGGGUUGUAAAGCUCUUUUGUCAGGGAAGAACGGUGAGAGCUAAUAUCUCUUGCUAAUGACGGUACCUGAAGAAUAAGCACCGGCUAACUACGUGCCAGCAGCCGCGGUAAUACGUAGGGUGCAAGCGUUAAUCGGAAUUACUGGGCGUAAAGCGUGCGCAGGCGGUUUUGUAAGUCUGAUGUGAAAUCCCCGGGCUCAACCUGGGAAUUGCAUUGGAGACUGCAAGGCUAGAAUCUGGCAGAGGGGGGUAGAAUUCCACGUGUAGCAGUGAAAUGCGUAGAUAUGUGGAGGAACACCGAUGGCGAAGGCAGCCCCCUGGGUCAAGAUUGACGCUCAUGCACGAAAGCGUGGGGAGCAAACAGGAUUAGAAACCCGGGUAGUCCCA